Molecule: ribosomal RNA, 421 nt
Filed under: Fusobacteriota bacterium
Lineage: Bacteria; Fusobacteriati; Fusobacteriota
Description: Fusobacteria bacterium partial 16S ribosomal RNA
Rfam family: Bacterial small subunit ribosomal RNA
Source: RNAcentral
UGGGGAAUAUUGCACAAUGGACGGAAGUUUGAUGCAGCGACGCCGCGUGGAGGGUGUAGGCCUUCGGGUUGUGAACUCCUUUUUCUCGCGAAAAAGGCACAGUUUUGGCUGUGUUGAUGGUAGUGGGGGAAGAAGCGCCGGCUAACUACGUGCCAGCAGCCGCGGUAAUACGUAGGGCGCGAGCGUUGUCCGGAUUUAUUGGGCGUAAAGAGCUCGUAGGUGGUGCGUCGCGUCUGUCGUGAAAGCCAGCAGCUUAACUGUUGGUCUGCGGUGGGUACGGGCGGGCUUGAGUGCGGUAGGGGUGACUGGAAUUCCUGGUGUAGCGGUGGAAUGCGCAGAUAUCGGGAGGAACACCGAUGGCGAAGGCAGGUCACUGGGCCGUUACUGACACUGAGGAGCGAAAGCGUGGGGAGCGAACAGG